CCGCCUGGGGAGUACGACCGCAAGGUUAAAACUCAAAUGAAUUGACGGGGACCCGCACAAGUAGUGGAGCAUGUGGUUUAAUUCGAAGAUACGCGCAGAACCUUACCAACACUUGACAUGUUCGUCGCGACUUUAAGAGAUUAAAGUUUUCGGUUCGGCCGGACGAAACACAGGUGCUGCAUGGCUGUCGUCAGCUCGUGUCGUGAGAUGUUGGGUUAAGUCCCGCAACGAGCGCAACCCUCACUUUUAGUUGCCAUCAUUAAGUUGGGCACUCUGAAAGAACUGCCAGUGAUAAGCUGGAGGAAGGUGGGGAUGACGUCAAGUCCUCAUGGCCCUUACGUGUUGGGCUACACACGUGCUACAAUGGCAUCUACAACAGGAAGCAAGACGGCGACGUUAAGCAAAUCCUUAAAAGAUGCCUCAGUUCGGAUUGCACUCUGCAACUCGAGUGCAUGAAGCUGGAAUUACUAGUAAUCGUGGAUCAGCGUGCCACGGUGAAUGCGUUCCCGGGUCUU
Molecule: ribosomal RNA, 515 nt
Filed under: uncultured Alphaproteobacteria bacterium
Lineage: Bacteria; Pseudomonadati; Pseudomonadota; Alphaproteobacteria
Description: bacterial SSU rRNA
Rfam family: Bacterial small subunit ribosomal RNA
Source: RNAcentral